AUUGAACGCUGGCGGCGUGCCUUACACAUGCAAGUCGAACGGUAACAGGUCUUCGGACGCUGACGAGUGGCGAACGGGUGAGUAAUACAUCGGAACGUGCCCAGUCGUGGGGGAUAACUACUCGAAAGAGUAGCUAAUACCGCGUACGAUCUGAGGAUGAAAGCGGGGGACCUUCGGGCCUCGCGCGAUUGGAGCAGCCGAGAUCAGAUUAGGUAGUUGGUGGGGUAAAGGCCCACCAAGCCAACGAUCUGUAGCUGGUCUGAGAGGACGACCAGCCACACUGGAACUGAGACACGGUCCAGACUCCUACGGGAGGCAGCAGUGGGGAAUUUUGGACAAUGGGCGAAAGCCUGAUCCAGCCAUUCCGCGUGCAGGAUGAAGGCCCUCGGGUUGUAAACUGCUUUUGUACAGAACGAAAAGGUUUCUACUAAUACUAGGAGCUCAUGACGGUACUGUAAGAAUAAGCACCGGCUAACUACGUGCCAGCCGCCGCAGUAA
Molecule: ribosomal RNA, 498 nt
Filed under: uncultured bacterium
Lineage: Bacteria
Description: partial 16S ribosomal RNA
Rfam family: Bacterial small subunit ribosomal RNA
Source: RNAcentral